Molecule: transfer RNA, 84 nt
Filed under: Actinomycetota bacterium
Lineage: Bacteria; Bacillati; Actinomycetota
Description: tRNA-Leu
Rfam family: tRNA
About the family: Transfer RNA (tRNA) molecules are approximately 80 nucleotides in length. Their secondary structure includes four short double-helical elements and three loops (D, anti-codon, and T loops). Further hydrogen bonds mediate the characteristic L-shaped molecular structure. tRNAs have two regions of fundamental functional importance: the anti-codon, which is responsible for specific mRNA codon recognition, and the 3' end, to which the tRNAs corresponding amino acid is attached (by aminoacyl-tRNA synthetases). tRNAs cope with the degeneracy of the genetic code in two manners: having more than one tRNA (with a specific anti-codon) for a particular amino acid; and 'wobble' base-pairing, i.e. permitting non-standard base-pairing at the 3rd anti-codon position.
Source: RNAcentral
GCGGGAGUGGCGGAACUGGCAGACGCGCCGGGUUUAGGUCCCGGUGGCCGAAAGGCCGUGGGGGUUCAACUCCCCCCUCUCGCA